Long non-coding RNA from Gadus macrocephalus (Pacific cod), 609 nucleotides. RefSeq lists it as uncharacterized. The record is from RefSeq and is a predicted model, not a curated record. The transcript has 2 exons. NCBI's taxonomy places the organism in Eukaryota, Metazoa, Chordata, Actinopteri, Gadiformes, Gadidae.
CUAAGGUUGAAUCCCAAUACUUGGCUCGCUUCAAAAUCUCAGCCCUAACCCUCGCUGUUGCGCGUUCACGCGCCGUGGAGCCAUGUCCCAAUACCAGUUUAAAGGUAGCUUAAGGGGUAGGGGGAGGGCUAACAUCCCCUCAAAAUUGAGAUUUUCGAUGGGCACCCUCAAAGCGCUUCAGUUCUGACUUGCUCCCACAAUACCUUGCGAGAAAACGGAAAAUCAAGAAAUAUCCUAGACAAGAUGGAGGGCGAAAAGAUGCGACAGGAUUGGAAAAACACAAAUGACUUUGUUGAGUCCACUGCCACCAGCCCCCCCCCCACCUCUCCCUCAUGCUCCUCCACCCCAGGCACCUCUUCCACCACCCCAGACACCCCUUCCAAGAGGAGAGUGCCAGGGGGCAGGCGAGGCAUGGGGAGAGCGAGGCAAAGUUGGCGGAAUGGUGGAGAAGAUGUGAUUCUCCACCAUUCUCUCAAAAGCUGAAAGAGAGUGUGUGUGUGUGUGUGUGUGUAUUUUUAGGUGUGCGUGUGUGUGUAUUUUUAGAUGCGUGUGUGUAUUUUUAGAUGUGUGGUUCAGUGUUUCUUAUUUAAAUAAAGUGUUUCUUCUAAA